ACUGAUGCCGCGGCGGGCCGCCGCCGAUCAGAGGUCGGCGGCGAGCCGGCGCAGGAUGUCGGCCGCGGGUUCGGCCGUCGCGUGGCGGUACC
RNAcentral lists this transfer RNA (92 nucleotides) under Mycobacterium saskatchewanense. RNAcentral's name for it is "tRNA-Ser". The record is from RNAcentral. Lineage: Bacteria; Bacillati; Actinomycetota; Actinomycetes; Mycobacteriales; Mycobacteriaceae.